UGGGGAAUAUUGGGCAAUGGGCGAAAGCCUGACCCAGCAACGCCGCGUGAAGGAAGAAGGCCUUCGGGUUGUAAACUUCUUUGAACAGGGACGAAAAAAAUGACGGUACCUGAAAAACAAGCCCCGGCUAACUACGUGCCAGCAGCCGCGGUAAUACGUAGGUGGCGAGCGUUAUCCGGAUUUACUGGGUGUAAAGGGCGUGUAGGCGGUUUUGUAAGUCGGAUGUGAAAUUCCCAGGCUUAACUUGGGAGCUGCAGCCGAAACUA
This 266-nucleotide ribosomal RNA is filed under the name uncultured prokaryote. RNAcentral's name for it is "partial 16S ribosomal RNA". It matches the Rfam family "Bacterial small subunit ribosomal RNA", at positions 355 to 635 of the family's 1533-position model. The record is from RNAcentral.